Molecule: ribosomal RNA, 1169 nt
Filed under: Yersinia pestis
Lineage: Bacteria; Pseudomonadati; Pseudomonadota; Gammaproteobacteria; Enterobacterales; Yersiniaceae
Description: bacterial LSU rRNA
Rfam family: Bacterial large subunit ribosomal RNA
Source: RNAcentral
GAUACCAGCUGGCUGCAACUGUUUAAUAAAAACACAGCACUGUGCAAACACGAAAGUGGACGUAUACGGUGUGACGCCUGCCCGGUGCUGGAAGGUUAAUUGAUGGGGUCAGCCGCAAGGCGAAGCUCUUGAUCGAAGCCCCAGUAAACGGCGGCCGUAACUAUAACGGUCCUAAGGUAGCGAAAUUCCUUGUCGGGUAAGUUCCGACCUGCACGAAUGGCGUAAUGAUGGCCAGGCUGUCUCCACCCGAGACUCAGUGAAAUUGAACUCGCUGUGAAGAUGCAGUGUACCCGCGGCAAGACGGAAAGACCCCGUGAACCUUUACUAUAGCUUGACACUGAACAUUGAGCCUUGAUGUGUAGGAUAGGUGGGAGGCCUUGAAGUGUGGACGCCAGUCUGCAUGGAGCCAACCUUGAAAUACCACCCUUUAAUGUUUGAUGUUCUAACUCGGCCCCAUGAUCUGGGGUGAGGACAGUGUCUGGUGGGUAGUUUGACUGGGGCGGUCUCCUCCCAAAGAGUAACGGAGGAGCACGAAGGUUAGCUAAUCACGGUCGGACAUCGUGAGGUUAGUGCAAAGGCAUAAGCUAGCUUGACUGCGAGAGUGACGGCUCGAGCAGGUACGAAAGUAGGUCUUAGUGAUCCGGUGGUUCUGAAUGGAAGGGCCAUCGCUCAACGGAUAAAAGGUACUCCGGGGAUAACAGGCUGAUACCGCCCAAGAGUUCAUAUCGACGGCGGUGUUUGGCACCUCGAUGUCGGCUCAUCACAUCCUGGGGCUGAAGUAGGUCCCAAGGGUAUGGCUGUUCGCCAUUUAAAGUGGUACGCGAGCUGGGUUUAGAACGUCGUGAGACAGUUCGGUCCCUAUCUGCCGUGGGCGUUGGAAGAUUGAGAGGGGCUGCUCCUAGUACGAGAGGACCGGAGUGGACGAAUCACUGGUGUUCGGGUUGUCAUGCCAAUGGCAUUGCCCGGUAGCUAAAUUCGGAAGAGAUAACCGCUGAAAGCAUCUAAGCGGGAAACUUGCCUCGAGAUGAGUCUUCCCUGGGACUUAAAGUCCCCUGAAGGAACGUUAAAGACUAUGACGUUGAUAGGCUGGGUGUGUAAGUGCAGCGAUGUAUUGAGCUAACCAGUACUAAUGAUCCGUGAGGCUUAACCUUACAACACCGAAGGUGUUU